This 71-nucleotide transfer RNA is filed under the name Loxodonta africana (African savanna elephant). It matches the Rfam family "tRNA". Rfam says of the family: Transfer RNA (tRNA) molecules are approximately 80 nucleotides in length. Lineage: Eukaryota; Metazoa; Chordata; Mammalia; Proboscidea; Elephantidae. The record is from Rfam by way of RNAcentral.
GUAGUGGUGCUUCAGUAGUAGAAUUCUCACCUUCCAUGCGAGAGGCCUGGGUUCAAUUCCCAGCCAAUGCC